UACGUAGGGGGCAAGCGUUGUCCGGAUUUAUUGGGCGUAAAGAGCGUGUAGGCGGCUUGGUAGGUCCGCUGUGAAAACUCGAGGCUCAACCUCGAGAUGUCGGCGGAAACCACUUGGCUAGAGUCCGGAAGAGGAGAGUGGAAUUCCCGGUGUAGCGGUGAAAUGCGCAGAGAUCGGGAGGAACACCCGUGGCGAAGGCGGCCAACUGGGCCGGACCUGACGCUGAGGCGCGAAGGCGUGGGGAGCGAACGGG
RNAcentral lists this ribosomal RNA (253 nucleotides) under uncultured bacterium. RNAcentral describes it as "partial 16S ribosomal RNA". It matches the Rfam family "Bacterial small subunit ribosomal RNA", at positions 524 to 776 of the family's 1533-position model. The record is from RNAcentral.